Molecule: small RNA, 707 nt
Filed under: Pan troglodytes (chimpanzee)
Lineage: Eukaryota; Metazoa; Chordata; Mammalia; Primates; Hominidae
Description: sense intronic
Source: RNAcentral
UCUUUUUCUUGAUUUCUUUGCAGAGCCUGGCUUUAGAGUAACACUUUGCCAUUCACUAGCUGUGUGACCUUGGGCAAAUUCUUCAACCUCUCUGAGUCUUGGUGUUUCUUCUGUAAAAUAAGGGUUGUAAAAUAAUGGACCGUUUGCCUGGUUCUUGUGAAACCAAGAGAUUAUAUGCCAGGUGCUGAGUACUGUGCUAGGGACAUGUUGGGUGCUUGAUAAGGGAUGGGGGUUAUUCUGAGUGUCAGCGGUGGGACUGUUUUAUCCUGCCAUCUCCCCUUUCACCCACAGGAAUGAGCAGCCCAGUGGGUAAAGGUUGGCCAGAACUAUAUUUGACUCAACUACAGUUGAGUGAAUGAUCUUUGCUCGCUUUUCUUCCUCCCACACUUAGGUUGGGGAAACUGAGGCCACCCUGAAGUUCCCGCCUACACCUCAUGACUUUCUCAGAUCCCUGGAGGGUGGCUUAGGAAAUGUCUUUGGAGAUUUGGGAACACACUGGAUACAUCAGUUGGUGAGCCAGGGAAAUUAGCAGGAACGAGCUCAUUUCGAUAGCAAUGAGCUGAGUCUCCCUCCAGCUGCCAGACAUUUACGAGGCUGGCUGGGUGCCGGCGGCCGGAGGCCUCCAAUGGCCCUCAUCCCUCUGCCUUCCGGCUGGAAAUAAUUCGUGUUUAAAAAAUAACAAUAAUAAAAAAAAAAAUCUCCAUCUU